RNAcentral lists this transfer RNA (92 nucleotides) under Zootermopsis nevadensis. It matches the Rfam family "tRNA". Rfam says of the family: Transfer RNA (tRNA) molecules are approximately 80 nucleotides in length. Their secondary structure includes four short double-helical elements and three loops (D, anti-codon, and T loops). Lineage: Eukaryota; Metazoa; Arthropoda; Insecta; Blattodea; Termopsidae. The record is from Rfam by way of RNAcentral.
CCUCUGGUAGCUCAGUUGGUAGAGCGGUGGACUGUGUUGGUUUCGUCUACGUGGUAAUCCAUUGGUCGCUGGUUCAAAUCCGGCCAAGAGGA